RNAcentral lists this long non-coding RNA (304 nucleotides) under Linum usitatissimum (flax). Its description in RNAcentral is "long non-coding RNA (LUSI_LNC003068)". The record is from RNAcentral. Lineage: Eukaryota; Viridiplantae; Streptophyta; Magnoliopsida; Malpighiales; Linaceae.
AGUUGUAUGUUGGUUUGUAUUCGUUCUUCAUAUAUAGCUAAAGAUAAAGAUUGGAAUAUGCUCAUGGCUACGAUCAAGGAAAAGAAGAAUGAGAUAAAGGGUCUUUGAUUUUUCAAUUACAUUCAAUCUUCACAUAUCAAUUUGUAUUCUCCUCAUAGAGGGACUUUGUUCACCAGAGUAAAAUAAAAGGGUCAGAAUCGGAAGAAUCAUAGAAAAAAAACUUCCUCCGCCAUUAUAAAAUAUAAAUAUAAGAUAAAGAAAAUUAAAAAAGAAAAAUAGAAUAAAAACAAUUGAUGAAAGGUUA